GACGAACGCUGGCGGCGUGCUUAACACAUGCAAGUCGAACGGUAAGGCCCUUCGGGGUACACGAGUGGCGAACGGGUGAGUAACACGUGGGUGAUCUGCCCUGCACUUCGGGAUAAGCCUGGGAAACUGGGUCUAGUACCGGCAAGGCCCACCGCCUGCAUGGGGGGUGGUGGAAGGCUUUUGCGGUGUGGGAUGGGCCCGCGGCCUAUCAGCUUGUUGGUGGGGUGAUGGCCUACCAAGGCGACGACGGGUAGCCGGCCUGAGAGGGUGACCGGCCACACUGGGACUGAGAUACGGCCCAGACUCCUACGGGAGGCAGCAGUGGGGAAUAUUGCACAAUGGGCGCAAGCCUGAUGCAGCGACGCCGCGUGAGGGAUGACGGCCUUCGGGUUGUAAACCUCUUUCAGCACCGACGAAGCGCAAGUGACGGUAGGUGCAGAAGAAGGACCGGCCAACUACGUGCCAGCCGCCGCCGUAA
This 478-nucleotide ribosomal RNA is filed under the name uncultured bacterium. RNAcentral describes it as "partial 16S ribosomal RNA". It matches the Rfam family "Bacterial small subunit ribosomal RNA", at positions 28 to 523 of the family's 1533-position model. The record is from RNAcentral.